UUCAUUUUAUUUUCUCCUGUUAAUUAACUAAUCAAUAAGAUUGAUUAUGAUUAAAUUGUCAAUAGUAUUUGAAAAGGAUUCAGUUGGGAAAAAGUUUCUCAACUAUAAGAUUAACCUGAUUUUCAUGAUUCGUAUAUAUAAAUUUACCAUUAUAAUGGUUGAUUAACUGAUUAUUGAUUGAAUUUGUCUAUUUAUUUAAUCAUUGAAAUUCAGUGAAACAUUUACAUUUACAAUUUAAUUAACUUGGUAAACAAUUAAAUCAUCUUCCGGGUUCACCCAAUUGAGAAAAAUGUUCAUGUUGACAAUACUAAUUUGACGAUUAAUGAUUUUAUUAUAUUUUCACUUUUAAUUACUCUGAUUAAUGAUUUUCAUUGAUAAAUAAUUUUACCUUUUCUCUAAAUUACCAGAAAUUGAUUAAUCAUCCUAAUCAUUAAUCACAACAAUCAACUUUCAACUAUUGUUUACAAUUUUUGUCUCUCUUUCUGAUUAAUAAUAUUAAAAGAAAAGAAGAAGAAAAAAGUUUAAUCAUUACUGACAAUUAACUCGGAAGAAAACAAAAUGAUUUAAUAACUUGGUAACUUAUCAAUUCGUACAAUUUAAAAUUAGUUAAUUGUCGCUAAUUGGAGAAGAAGAAAAAAUUCAAAUUAUUGAUUAGAUUUUUGUUCUUCCCUCUCUUUUUUUUGUUCCAAUGUCAAUGUUAUGGUUACAGAGAGAGAGAAAGAGGAUCAGCUGAUUGACCUUAAGGUCGAACAUGAGUUUCGUUUGUUUUGUUAAUUGUUCUCAGUUAAUUUACUAUUUUUAGAUUAGAAGAACAAUUUUACUUCGCAAUUUGGUACAAUUAAGUUUUCUUCGCAAUUUUGAUUCGAUUAACCUUGGAAUUGGAAAACUCUCUCUUCUAUUUUGAUGGUGAAAAUUAAAUCUCCUCAAGGCUAUCGAUUGAUUUUCCAUGAGUAUAGAAAAUCAAAGAGAUUUUAACAAGUUAUUCUCAUGAAAAUACCAAAAGAGGAAAAAGAGAGAAAAAGAUUAAUCUUGAUGAUUGGUAACACCAUGGAAAUAUUGGGUCUUUUUUUAUAUUCUCUCCCACUCUCUCUGUCUCUUCAUCUUCUGCCAACCCGUUUUGUUUUUCAUCACCAAUCACAGUAAUUUUACAAUUCUUUGUAUGAAUAUCAUGAUGAUCAUCAUAAGUGUUAUAUCAAGUCAAUUAUUCACAGAGAAUAACAAGUUUGACAUGAUUAUCAGAAUAGAAGAGGAUUUGUAGCUUCAUCAUCAUCAUCUUUGUUUCAAGCUUAAAGAGAUGAAAAAUGUUCAUUAAUUUUCUUCUUCCAUGUUAUAUAAUCAAAAGAUUUUCAUGGAAUACAAAUAUUAAUACUAAUCAAGUCUCUAUUUGGAGUCAACGGAUAAGCCAAACAAACACUGGACAUUGACUAUUGAAGUUAUUGUUUUGUAUCAUCUCUCUAAUGAUCUUCUAACAAUUAGUAUCCACAUGUUAUGUUUACAUGUUGAGUAAACUCUCUGGAUUGACGACAUUUACUUAUAUCAUCUGAUAGAUUUUGUGGAUAUUCCUAAUUUGAAAAGAAAUGUCAACAUAAGAAUAAGACGAAAAAUCCCAAAGAUUCGAGCUUCUCUUUCAAGCUUUUGGAAAUCUAUUUCCAUGGUAAAUUCAGGAUUUUUCACCGAUUAAAUUGGAGAAAAUUGUGAAUCCAGUCAAGUGUCCAUGUAGGAAAGCCCAGAAAGAUAGAGAAAAUGUAAAGAAAAAUAGAUAGAAAAUAGAAAGAAAUGAAAGAGAGAAAGAGAGAGAAAAAAUAUAAGACGAAGCAAAACCAGGAAACAUGGAGAAAGAUAGAGAAAAGAAAGAGAAACGAGAAAGAUGAUUCAAUAGGAAAACAUGGACUGCGAAUUCAAGUCCAGUUGAUCUUUGAACACAUCGUCGGACAAUUGAAAAGGCUCCUCUGUUAUUUUUUUUUCUUCUUGGGUUUCAUGAUAAAUUUUAUAUACUUUUCGCCUUUUGUUAUGAAUAAACAAGUAACCAUAUCGGAAACUGAAUAGGAAAUAAUAUGAGAAGAGGUGAAGCCAUGCAAAAAUUUGAGAACCUGAACUGAAUUAUUUUAAAAAUGAUUGGAAAGUUUGUUACAUGGAAAUUAUUUGAUAGAAGAUGGAAAAGGAGAAAACCCAAAAAGAAAAUGAUUGAGGUCAAUUGGUUAACAUGCGAUUACAUGGAAACCAGAAUUUGGAACCAGAGGUUUUUUUCCACCAUGUUAAUAGAUUGUAAUGAUUAAUAAGAAGCAAUUUAUUAAUUU
Long non-coding RNA from Panonychus citri (citrus red mite), 2297 nucleotides. RefSeq lists it as uncharacterized. The transcript is spliced from 9 exons. The record is from RefSeq and is a predicted model, not a curated record. Lineage: Eukaryota; Metazoa; Arthropoda; Arachnida; Trombidiformes; Tetranychidae.